Non-coding RNA from Pelobates cultripes (western spadefoot toad), 220 nucleotides. Lineage: Eukaryota; Metazoa; Chordata; Amphibia; Anura; Pelobatidae. The record is from the annotation of a GenBank genome assembly.
CUGUCUCCCUGACAGCCACUAGAGGCCGCUUCCGUGAUUUACACGGAGUAAAUCCCACUUAUUUGAUGCUGGUCGUCCUCACGGGGUCCAGCAUCUAAAAAGAUCCCCUUAGGAAAGCAUUGAGUAAUGCUUUCCUAUGGGUGGGUUUGAAUGAGCGCGCCUCUGGCCGCGCAUGCGCAUUUAACUCCACUUGGAAGCUGACGUCGAUGGAAGAGGAGAG